Molecule: non-coding RNA, 212 nt
Filed under: Bathymodiolus thermophilus thioautotrophic gill symbiont
Lineage: Bacteria; Pseudomonadati; Pseudomonadota; Gammaproteobacteria
Description: 6S RNA
Rfam family: 6S / SsrS RNA
About the family: E. coli 6S RNA was the first non coding RNA to be sequenced, but its function was unknown until recently. It consists of 184 nucleotides that fold into an extended hairpin structure with a large single-stranded internal bulge.
Source: RNAcentral
AAUUGUCUAUUAUGUUUGUAAUUAGCUCUAUCCCCUGAGCCGAUAAAUAAAUAAAUAGGAUAUGAGAUGGAUUGCUAUUGAGCAAGCCCGCCUUGCACUCUCAGAAAUUUUCUGCGUGGUGUUGGAAGUGGGAAGCCUGCGGUAAUUCUCGACUUUCCGCCUUGAACCUUACUGGUUCAGGUUUUUGCCAAUUGCGACAUAAUAGACCCAAA